UAGCCAGACUCCUACGGGAGGCAGCAGUAGGGAAUCUUCCACAAUGGGCGAAAGCCUGAUGGAGCAACGCCGCGUGGGUGAAGAAGGUCUUCGGAUCGUAAAACCCUGUUGUUAGAGAAGAAAGUGCGUGAGAGUAACUGUUCACGUUUCGACGGUAUCUAACCAGAAAGCCACGGCUAACUCCGUGCCAGCAGCCGCGGUAAUACGGAGGAUGCGAGCGUUAUCCGGAUUUAUUGGGUUUAAAGGGUGCGUGGGCGGUCCGGAAGGUCAGGGGAAAAAGCCCGGGGCUCAACCCCGGCGAGCCGUUGAAACUGUCGGACUAGAGACGGCGAGAAGUACGCGGAAUGCGCGGUGUAGCGGUGAAAUGCAUAGAUAUCACGCAGAACUCCGAUUGCGAAGGCAGCAUACCGGCGCUCAACUGACGCUCAUGCACGAAAGUGUGGGUAUCGAACAGGAUUAGAUACCCCCGUA
RNAcentral lists this ribosomal RNA (471 nucleotides) under uncultured bacterium. RNAcentral's name for it is "bacterial SSU rRNA". It matches the Rfam family "Bacterial small subunit ribosomal RNA", at positions 328 to 792 of the family's 1533-position model. The record is from RNAcentral.